UUUAAAAUCUCAUAAUAAUUUUCAUGACAAAAUUAAAAUCACUGACUAGUGAGUCUUCUCCAAGUACUAUCACACCAAAACAUAAAACAAAUACGAGAGCAUGCAUUGUCUUUCAGGAAAUUCCAGCACAAAACAAAUAAUUCGCUCCUUAACGUUACAUAUCAGAGCAUAACUAAAACUAAAACGAAUAAACUAAAAGAAAUAGCUUCAGGAGCUAACUUCCACUCACAGUAACAUCUCUACUCUUUAGUAUCUGCACGAUGCCCAUGUAAAGUCAACAUUCAAACAUAAUGGGUGAGAAUUCAUUUCAACAAUAACACCUAAGAAU
This 328-nucleotide long non-coding RNA is filed under the name Lathyrus oleraceus (garden pea). RNAcentral describes it as "Pisum sativum (pea) long non-coding RNA (PSAT_LNC007870)". The record is from RNAcentral. Lineage: Eukaryota; Viridiplantae; Streptophyta; Magnoliopsida; Fabales; Fabaceae.